CCCCUAGACGUUCUGGGCUGCACGCGCGCUACAAUAAUACGCACAGCGAGUAUCACCGAGCUCGAAAGGGCAAGGUAAACAAUAGAAAAGGUACUGUAAUGGUUAUAGAUCCUUGUAAUUAUUGAUCUUCAACGAGGAAUUCCUAGUAAGUAUGUGUCAUCAUCACGCACUGAUUACGUCCCUGCCCUUUGUACACACCGCCCGUCGCUCCUACCGAUUGGGUGAUCCGGUGAAUAACUCGGACUGCAGCUAUUCGGGAGACCGUUAGCUUGUGGAAAGUUUAGUAAAUCUUAUCACUUAGAGGAAGGAGAAGUCGUAACA
RNAcentral lists this ribosomal RNA (321 nucleotides) under uncultured eukaryote. RNAcentral's name for it is "partial 18S ribosomal RNA". It matches the Rfam family "Eukaryotic small subunit ribosomal RNA", at positions 1470 to 1796 of the family's 1831-position model. The record is from RNAcentral.